Molecule: long non-coding RNA, 487 nt
Organism: Scylla paramamosain (green mud crab)
Lineage: Eukaryota; Metazoa; Arthropoda; Malacostraca; Decapoda; Portunidae
Exons: 4
Source: RefSeq, a predicted model, not a curated record
UUCGAAUGAUGACAGUGGUGAGGGGGAAAGGGUCAUAUGGCGCUGUAAUCACUGUGGCAAAAACUGUAAGCAUUUUCCGGCUUUCGCACCAGCCCUAGGGAGAAGCAGUGACUGGGCGUCCAUUUCCUCGGCUGGUGUCCCUUCGUCAGCAUGUUGCGUGGAACAAGGCGAUGAUGGUGGACCUGGUAUUCUGGAGGAACGUGGAUUAAGGACGGAGCCCAGCGAUGACAGAUUUCACUUCACCUCCAGUACUCCUGCCCCACGCCAUCCUGAAAGGUCGAAAUGAAGAUAAUGGAGGCAUAUGAAGUGCUGCAUCUCUUACAAAGUUGUCAGCACGUCUAGAACAGAUGGUUCCUGAACCGGAGACCUCGUGCGGCAUUCUUCAAGGGUGUCAGGAGAUUCUGCUCUGCUGUACCAUAUACAUCAAGUCGGUGUUCCCUCCAUUCCUUGGCGUGGAGGGGCCACCUUCCCACACCGUGGCUCGUGG